CAGCCGCCACGGUAAUAUGGAGGGGGCUAGCGUUGUUCGGAAUUACUGGGCGUAAAGCGCACGUAGGCGGCUUGGUAAGUUAGAGGUGAAAGCCUGGAGCUCAACUCCAGAAUUGCCUUUAAGACUGCCGAGCUAGCAGGUGAGAGAGGUAAGUGGAAUUCCGAGUGUAGAGGUGAAAUUCGUAGAUAUUCGGAAGAACACCAAUGGCGAAGGCGGCUUACUGGCUCAUACUGGACGCUGAGGUGCGAAAGCGUGGGGAGCAAACAGGAUUAGAGACCCGCGUAGUCCCUGUCUCUUAUAC
RNAcentral lists this ribosomal RNA (301 nucleotides) under uncultured bacterium. RNAcentral's name for it is "partial 16S ribosomal RNA". It matches the Rfam family "Bacterial small subunit ribosomal RNA", at positions 509 to 807 of the family's 1533-position model. The record is from RNAcentral.